CACGCCGUAAACGAUGAAUGCUAGGUGUAGGGGGUGAACAUACCCCUGUGCCGGAGUCAACACAAUAAGCAUUCCACCUGGGGAGUACGGCCGCAAGGUUGAAACUCAAAGGAAUUGACGGGAGCCCGCACAAGCAGUGGAGUAUGUGGUUUAAUUCGACGCAACGCGAAGAACCUUACCGGAGCUUGACAUCCACGGAAGUUGGCUGUAAUGGCCGGCGUGCCCUUCGGGGAGCCGUGAGACAGGUGG
RNAcentral lists this ribosomal RNA (249 nucleotides) under uncultured Bacillota bacterium. Its description in RNAcentral is "uncultured Firmicutes bacterium partial 16S ribosomal RNA". It matches the Rfam family "Bacterial small subunit ribosomal RNA", at positions 796 to 1041 of the family's 1533-position model. Lineage: Bacteria; Bacillati; Bacillota. The record is from RNAcentral.